Molecule: ribosomal RNA, 454 nt
Filed under: uncultured bacterium
Lineage: Bacteria
Description: partial 16S ribosomal RNA
Rfam family: Bacterial small subunit ribosomal RNA
Source: RNAcentral
AGCGAACGCUGGCGGCAGGCUUAACACAUGCAAGUCGAGCGGGCACUUUCGGGUGUCAGCGGCGGACGGGUGAGUAACGCGUGGGAACGUGCCCUCUGGUUCGGAAUAACUCAGGGAAACUUGAGCUAAUACCGGAUACGCCCUUUUGGGGAAAGGCUUGCUGCCGGAGGAUCGGCCCGCGUCUGAUUAGCUAGUUGGUGAGGUAACGGCUCACCAAGGCGACGAUCAGUAGCUGGUCUGAGAGGAUGAUCAGCCACACUGGGACUGAGACACGGCCCAGGCUGGUGGGGGAGGCAGGAGGGGGGAAGCUGGCACAGGGGCGGGAAGGCGGAUCAAGUGGUGCGGGGGGAGUAAGGAAGGUGUGAGGGUUGUAGAUCGUCUUUAGCCGGGACGAGACCGACGGUACCGAGGGAAUAAGCCCCGGCUAACGUGGGGCCAGCCGCCGCGGUAAUAG